RNAcentral lists this ribosomal RNA (493 nucleotides) under uncultured bacterium. RNAcentral describes it as "partial 16S ribosomal RNA". It matches the Rfam family "Bacterial small subunit ribosomal RNA", at positions 28 to 507 of the family's 1533-position model. The record is from RNAcentral.
GACGAACGCUGGCGGCGUGCUUAACACAUGCAAGUCGACGACGCUACUGAGUAGCAAUAUUUAGUAGUGGAGUGGCGCAAGGGUGAGUAAUGUAUACGUAACUAACCCAUCGGAGACGGAUAACAUUUCGAAAGGGAUGCUAAAACGGCAUGAAGCCACGAUUUCGCAUGAGAUUGUGGUUAAAGAACCGGUAACAGGUUGCCGAUGGCUGGGCGUAUAUCCGAUUAGCUAGUUGGUAGUGUAAUGGACUACCAAGGCGACGAUCGGUAGCUGGUCUGAGAGGAUGAUCAGCCACACUGGCACUGAGACACGGGCCAGACUCCUACGGGAGGCAGCAGUGGGGAAUAUUGGGCAAUGCCCGCAAGGGUGACCCAGCAACGCCGCGUGGAGGAUGAAGGCCGUAAGGUUGUAAACUCUGACAAGCAGGGAAGAACGGCUAUGGUAAAAGGCCAUAGAAUGACGGUACCUGCCUGAAGCCCCGGCUAACUACGUG